Non-coding RNA from Leptonychotes weddellii (Weddell seal), 339 nucleotides. NCBI's taxonomy places the organism in Eukaryota, Metazoa, Chordata, Mammalia, Carnivora, Phocidae. The record is from RefSeq and is a predicted model, not a curated record.
UAAUUAUAGGUCCAUGAGAAGUUGCAGAAAAAUAUUCAAGGAGGUGUCAUGUACCCUUCACCCAGUUUUCCCUGAAGGUAUUGCAGUCCCAGCAGAAGGAGGAUAUGCACUGCAGGUGUCUGAAGAUCUCAGGUGGAGGCUUCUUUGAACUUCUACCACUCAGUUACCCAGGAUACACUUUGAUUUCCGGUCUCAAACCACUUGUGUACUGUCGCCCUUGGGACCGCCUCCUGCAGUCCGGCCAGGGCCGAGCGUUGCCAUGGGGACCACAAACAGCCUGGGCCAGUAGGAGAGAGGAGGACUUUCCCCAGAGGAAGCGGCCUCACCUGUGGAGACACU